AAGUUCCUGAGGUGUUCGAUACUCCUGUUAUUUUGAACCUACAUGAUGUAACACGGGAUUCCUACAUUUGUGGGUGGAUGUCAAGCCGCCAAGUCAGCGGAAGGCAGAAGCUUACAUGCGGUCGCCCACCUAGCUUAGCUAGGAGUCAAAAUGCAGGAACCGGCAUUUCGGGUAUAUA
This 178-nucleotide non-coding RNA is filed under the name Clostridiales bacterium. Its description in RNAcentral is "6S RNA". It matches the Rfam family "6S / SsrS RNA". From Rfam's summary of the family: E. coli 6S RNA was the first non coding RNA to be sequenced, but its function was unknown until recently. It consists of 184 nucleotides that fold into an extended hairpin structure with a large single-stranded internal bulge. The record is from RNAcentral. Lineage: Bacteria; Bacillati; Bacillota; Clostridia; Eubacteriales.